Long non-coding RNA from Ctenopharyngodon idella (grass carp), 2664 nucleotides. RefSeq lists it as uncharacterized. The record is from RefSeq and is a predicted model, not a curated record. NCBI's taxonomy places the organism in Eukaryota, Metazoa, Chordata, Actinopteri, Cypriniformes, Xenocyprididae. The transcript has 2 exons.
UGUGUUGGCUCCCACUAAUGUUAGUGGGAGUAGGUAGUCAUUUAAAAUGUAUUGAAAAGCAGUGAAUUUUCCUUUCCACAUGUAUGUUGGUUUGCAUUUCUUGUCCUGUUAUACCCUACUAUAAAACCAAUUAAUUAAUUCUUGUAGAAGUAUGGGUAGGUCUCAGUUCUGGCUGUAACUCUGGAAUUGUUUAUCAAUUGAACUUCACAUAGUAAGAAGGAUUUAAAAUACCAAUUUUUUCAACUAUUUAACAAAAUUGUGAUUAGGUAGUUGUGAUUUAGUGACUUAUGAAUUUAGUUUGCCUUCCCCUUUAAAUCUCUCCUCCACCUCUAUAGAGGAAAAUCAAUCUGCAAGAUAAUGAGAAAAGCAGUCCCAACUUUUUUCAGUGGGUUUUUUUUUUUUUUUUUAACCAUUAGCUUUGGCUAGGGACAGCCUGGAUAUUCAAUAAUAAUUUAUAGAUGGAAAACUGAUACAGAACUACUGUUAUAAAAGAAAACGUGUGCAAUAAGAAUUCAAAACUUCACUGAUCUGAAGAAACACAAUUCUGUAUACUGACAUGGCCUCAUUUGAUUACCACUAAAAAACAAGCAAACAUUUGACCACAAUUAAAGUCUAAAGAAUGGCCUCGGAGUUACUUGUCAUUAUCCAAAGCCAGAUACAGUACAUUUAUUGCACUAACCUUCUGUCUGAGUUGAUGUUCUUCCUCAAGGGCACAAAAGUGGCAAGAUACGAAGAGGAUAUUCCAAGUCACAGAUCGCCUAUAUUUAAUCCCAAACCAUCGUUUGGGUGAGUGAAAUAGAUUUAUAUCUUAGAGGCCUUUUAUUUAAAACAUCCUCUUGAUUCCAACAUUGCACAUUCAUUUGCAAAAAAAUAUUCUCUAAUUUCCCAGUCACAAGCUUUGUGGGAUGUUUAUAACAGGAUUGAGGUUGAUGCACUUAGGUCAAGACAUAGUUCUAUUAAUUUUCAACCACGUGAUUAGUAUAAACAGAUACGUUCAAAAUAUGUUUUUCAUUUCUCUAUUGAGCUUAUUUGUAUUAGGGUACACAGAAAUCAUCUCAGAAUUCCUGGAGAAUCAAAUGAAAUGGCAAGAACUGAUGCUUUCAUUGCCAAUUUAAGGCAAUACAAGUCCAAGAAUCCCAGCAAAAUGUUUUCAAUGUACUUGAAUGGGGGGAAAAAAAUCAUGCUGAAAAGAGAUUUUGAAAUAUGCCUGUUCAUACGUCAUGCUUCAAUCUAAGAAUCAUUUGCCUCGGCUUUAAAGGGUUAGUUCACCCAAAAAUGAAAUUUGUGUCAUUAAUUACUCACCCUCAUGUCGUUCAACACUUAUAAGACCUUCGUUCAUCUUCGGAACACAAAUUAAGAUAUUUUUGAUGAAAUCCGAAAUGUAUGACUGGUCCAUAGCAAUAUAAUCACCACUUUCAAGGUCCAGAAAGGUAAUAAAGACAUUUUUAAAACAGUAGACGUGACUGCAGUGCUUCAACUUUAAUUUUAUGAACCAAGAAUACUUUUUGUGUGCCAAAACAAAAAUAACGACUUUAUUCAACAAUCUCUUCUCUUCCCUGUCAUCCUCCUUACGCAGGUGAUGCAGUAACAGUGAAGGCUUCCGUGUUUAUCACAACGCAUGCGUGUGAUGCUGACGCAGGAGCCGGCCAAUAAUGAGUCGGCAUUUUGAUGUAGAACCUGGAAGCGCUGGACUCAAACAACGUAUAAGAAUGACACAGAAGAAAAGAUAUUGUUGAAUAAAGUCAUUAUUUUUGUUUUGCGCACAACAAGUAUUCUCGUCGCUUCGUAAAUUUAAGGUUGAACCACUGCAGUCUCGUUGAAUGUUUUAACAAUGUCUUUAGUACCUUUCUAGACCUUGAAAGUGUUGAUUAUAUUGCGGUCUAUGGAGGAGUUAGAUACCUCUCCGAUUUCAUCAAAAAUAUCUUAAUUUGUGUUCCGGAGGUCUUACGGGUGUGAAACGACACAAAGGUGCGUGAUUAAUGACAUAAUUUUCAUUUUUGGGUGAACUAACACUUUAAAGUCAAGAAAAUUUCAGCAAUAUGGACAUUUUCAUUUUCUUAAAUGUCAAGUUAAAUGCAAUGCAACUCUCCAAUUUCCAUGCAUCUUGUGCAAAUGCAAGUCAAGACAUUCCUAUAAAUGAUUACUGAGAAAAGCAAUAAGUACGCAGAAAAUAAAGUAAAUAAACAAAUGAAUAUUUCAUGAUAAAUUAUUUUAUACAUGGAUGUGCACAUAUAAACUAACAUAGACGGUGUAGACAAAGGCUAAUCAGAAAAGAGAUGUCCUAAAGAUUGCAAGUGAGAUAGGAAGAGUGUAAAAGAGAGAGGAGAAAGAGUAGGUGUCUCAGUGCACACUUUCUAAAGCACUCUCAGUGUCAGCAAGAGACUCCAACCAAUCAGAACAUCCCCCAUAAACCCUGUGCUGGAAAGUCCGACGCAAUGUCACAUUCUCAUUCACUUUUUCUGGUCGAAAAACAUACCUGUUAAAAACAGACAUACACUUUGUUUUGUGCAGUUUUUACAUGUAUGUACAUUUUGUAAAAGAAUCUUAACAGUGUCCAUUCAUGCAACCCACAGUAUAUAGCAUUGUGUAUCAUUUGAUGUAAUGUUUUACAUCUAUAUGUUAAACAGCUAAAUUCAUAAGCUCCAAUUCAAUAAAGAAAGAAAU